RNAcentral lists this transfer RNA (93 nucleotides) under Rhizobiales bacterium GAS113. RNAcentral describes it as "tRNA_Gly_GCC". The record is from RNAcentral. Lineage: Bacteria; Pseudomonadati; Pseudomonadota; Alphaproteobacteria; Hyphomicrobiales.
GCGAGCGGCGUCGGACCGAUGAGGCGUCAAACCUCCUGCCGAAACACAACCUUGCCAAGGUUGGGGUCGUGGGUUCGAGCCCCAUCGCCCGCU